This is a long non-coding RNA of Hyaena hyaena (striped hyena), 201 nucleotides long. RefSeq lists it as uncharacterized. NCBI's taxonomy places the organism in Eukaryota, Metazoa, Chordata, Mammalia, Carnivora, Hyaenidae. The transcript has 3 exons. The record is from RefSeq and is a predicted model, not a curated record.
AUAAAAACCCUGUUUGCCACUGUUCGGGGCCCCACCUUGCUGCUGCUGCACCGGGAGACAGCUAACAGUUACUGAGCCCUUACCACGUGCCAGAUGUGGUAAUGUCAUUGAAAUCAUGUAACACCCUCAUGAGUGGACAACCAGCAAGUGAAGAUGCUCAAGCAAAUGACCUGAAGUCAGAAACAGGGUUUGAUGCGACAU